This 253-nucleotide ribosomal RNA is filed under the name uncultured bacterium. RNAcentral describes it as "partial 16S ribosomal RNA". It matches the Rfam family "Bacterial small subunit ribosomal RNA", at positions 524 to 776 of the family's 1533-position model. The record is from RNAcentral.
UACGUAGGGUGCAGGCGUUAUUCGGAAUUACUGGGCGUAAAGCGUGCGCAGGCGGUUUGCUAAGUCAGGUGUGAAAUCCCCGGGCUUAACCUGGGAACUGCGCUUGUAACUGGCAAGCUUGAGUGUGGCAGAGGGGGGUGGAAUUCCACGUGUAGCAGUGAAAUGCGUAGAUAUCUGGAGGAAUACCGGUGGCGAAGGCGGCAUCCUGGACCGGCAUUGACGCUGAGGAGCGAAAGCUAGGGGAGCAAACGGG